This 100-nucleotide small nucleolar RNA is filed under the name Cicer arietinum (chickpea). RNAcentral describes it as "Small nucleolar RNA Z157/R69/R10". It matches the Rfam family "Small nucleolar RNA Z157/R69/R10". From Rfam's summary of the family: Z157, R69 and R10 are members of the C/D class of snoRNA which contain the C (UGAUGA) and D (CUGA) box motifs. Most of the members of the box C/D family function in directing site-specific 2'-O-methylation of substrate RNAs. The record is from Rfam by way of RNAcentral. Lineage: Eukaryota; Viridiplantae; Streptophyta; Magnoliopsida; Fabales; Fabaceae.
UUUUGUGCUGUGAUGAGACAAUUUUGUGGACUAGAGUUUCUGAUCCGAGUACAUUUACUCAGAAGUUGAUUAUGAAACCCUUGGCUGUCUGAGCACACCU